CUCGUCCUGCUGACGUUGUAUGCGACAUCGAUGUGCUAUAUGCUGUAUGCUGAUAAGCCAUUUGGUCCUGUUUUCCCAGUCUUCUUGUCGCAGAUACAGUAAAGCAACCCUGAGUGACCAUC
Megalobrama amblycephala (Wuchang bream) is the source of this 122-nucleotide long non-coding RNA. RefSeq lists it as uncharacterized. Lineage: Eukaryota; Metazoa; Chordata; Actinopteri; Cypriniformes; Xenocyprididae. The record is from RefSeq and is a predicted model, not a curated record. The transcript is spliced from 2 exons.